Molecule: ribosomal RNA, 447 nt
Filed under: uncultured bacterium
Lineage: Bacteria
Description: bacterial SSU rRNA
Rfam family: Bacterial small subunit ribosomal RNA
Source: RNAcentral
UGCAAGACUUGAGUGCGGCAGAGGGGGGUGGAAUUCCACGUGUAGCAGUGAAAUGCGUAGAGAUGUGGAGGAACACCGAUGGCGAAGGCAGCCCCCUGGGUCGACACUGACGCUCAUGCACGAAAGCGUGGGUAGCAAACAGGAUUAGAUACCCUGGUAGUCCACGCCCUAAACGAUGCCAACUAGGUGUUGGGGAAGGAGACUUCCUUAGUACCGUAGCUAACGCGUGAAGUUGGCCGCCUGGGGAGUACGGUCGCAAGAUUAAAAACUCAAAAGGAAUUGGACGGGGACCCGCACAAGCGGUGGAUGAUGUGGAUUAAUUCGAUGCAACGACGAAAAACCUUACCUACCCUUGACAUGCCAGGAAUCCCGGAGAGAUUUGGGAGUGCUCGAAAGAGAACCUGGACACAGGUGCUGCAUGGCUGUCGUCAGCUCGUGUCGUGAGAU